This 269-nucleotide long non-coding RNA is filed under the name Gallus gallus (chicken). The record is from RNAcentral. Lineage: Eukaryota; Metazoa; Chordata; Aves; Galliformes; Phasianidae.
GCCAGCUCCUCCACAAUGCCCUCCUCCUCCUUGAAGUUCUCCCAGUCCAGCUUGGACUUCUCCAGCGUGCUCAUCUUCUGUUUUUUGGAGCCGAUCUUCCCCAGGAGGCUGCUGAUACCGCUCGGCCUCUUCACCAUCUCGAGUGCCGGCUUUUUUGUCAAAGGGCUUUUUCAUUUAUCUUCUUAAGAGAACAGAGAGCUUUCAGGCCAAGAGAGAUCAUUAAAUCAUCCAGCUUGACCCCUUGUAUACACCAGGCCAAGCCAUUCCAC